This 227-nucleotide ribosomal RNA is filed under the name uncultured bacterium. RNAcentral's name for it is "partial 16S ribosomal RNA". It matches the Rfam family "Bacterial small subunit ribosomal RNA", at positions 107 to 334 of the family's 1533-position model. The record is from RNAcentral.
UGCGUAACACGUGUGUAACCUACCUUUAUCUGGGGGAUAGCCUCUCGAAAGAGAGAUUAACACCGCAUAAAACCACAGGGCAGCAUUGCCUAAUGGUCAAAUAUUUAUAGGAUAAAGAUGGGCAUGCGGGACAUUAGCUAGUUGGCGGGGUAACGGCCCACCAAGGCUACGAUGUUUAGGGGAUCUGAGAGGAUGGCCCCCCACACUGGUACUGAGACACGGACCAG